UACGUAGGGUGCGAGCGUUAAUCGGAAUUACUGGGCGUAAAGCGUGCGCAGGCGGUUUUGUAAGCCAGAUGUGAAAUCCCCGGGCUCAACCUGGGAAUGGCAUUUGGGACUGCAAGGCUGGAGUUUGGCAGAGGAGACUGGAAUUCCCGGUGUAGCAGUGAAAUGCGCAGAUAUCAGGAGGAACACCAAUGGCGAAGGCAGCUCGCUGGAACGGUACUGACGCUGAGGCGCGAAAGCGUGGGGAGCGAACAGG
This 253-nucleotide ribosomal RNA is filed under the name uncultured bacterium. Its description in RNAcentral is "partial 16S ribosomal RNA". It matches the Rfam family "Bacterial small subunit ribosomal RNA", at positions 524 to 776 of the family's 1533-position model. The record is from RNAcentral.